This 297-nucleotide unclassified non-coding RNA is filed under the name uncultured Dothideomycetes. Its description in RNAcentral is "sequence contains ITS1". The stretch from base 1 to 105 matches the Rfam family "5.8S ribosomal RNA", at positions 50 to 154 of the family's 154-position model. Lineage: Eukaryota; Fungi; Ascomycota; Dothideomycetes. The record is from RNAcentral.
GAAAUGCGAUAAUUAAUGUGAAUUGCAGAAUUUAGUGAAUCAUCGAAUCUUUGAACGCACAUUGCGCCCUCUGGCAAUCCGGAGGGCACGCCUGUCCGAGCGUCGGUACAAACGUCAAGCACUGCUUGGUAUUGGGCGACGCGGUCCGCCGCGCGCCUCAAAUCGACCGGCUGGGUCUUUCGUCCCCUCAGCGUUGUGGAAACUAUUCGCUAAAGGGUGCCGCGGGAGGCCACGCCGUGAAACAACCCCAUUUCUAAGGUUGACCUCGGAUCAGGUAGGAGUACCCGCUGAACUUAA